This 1195-nucleotide ribosomal RNA is filed under the name Escherichia coli. RNAcentral describes it as "partial 23S ribosomal RNA". It matches the Rfam family "Bacterial large subunit ribosomal RNA", at positions 1 to 1238 of the family's 2925-position model. Lineage: Bacteria; Pseudomonadati; Pseudomonadota; Gammaproteobacteria; Enterobacterales; Enterobacteriaceae. The record is from RNAcentral.
GGUUAAGCGACUAAGCGUACACGGUGGAUGCCCUGGCAGUCAGAGGCGAUGAAGGACGUGCUAAUCUGCGAUAAGCGUCGGUAAGGUGAUAUGAACCGUUAUAACCGGCGAUUUCCGAAUGGGGAAACCCAGUGUGAUUCGUCACACUAUCAUUAACUGAAUCCAUAGGUUAAUGAGGCGAACCGGGGGAACUGAAACAUCUAAGUACCCCGAGGAAAAGAAAUCAACCGAGAUUCCCCCAGUAGCGGCGAGCGAACGGGGAGGAGCCCAGAGCCUGAAUCAGUGUGUGUGUUAGUGGAAGCGUCUGGAAAGGCGCGCGAUACAGGGUGACAGCCCCGUACACAAAAAUGCACAUACUGUGAGCUCGAUGAGUAGGGCGGGACACGUGGUAUCCUGUCUGAAUAUGGGGGGACCAUCCUCCAAGGCUAAAUACUCCUGACUGACCGAUAGUGAACCAGUACCGUGAGGGAAAGGCGAAAAGAACCCCGGCGAGGGGAGUGAAAAAGAACCUGAAACCGUGUACGUACAAGCAGUGGGAGCCUCUUUAUGGGGUGACUGCGUACCUUUUGUAUAAUGGGUCAGCGACUUAUAUUCUGUAGCAAGGUUAACCGAAUAGGGGAGCCGAAGGGAAACCGAGUCUUAACUGGGCGUUAAGUUGCAGGGUAUAGACCCGAAACCCGGUGAUCUAGCCAUGGGCAGGUUGAAGGUUGGGUAACACUAACUGGAGGACCGAACCGACUAAUGUUGAAAAAUUAGCGGAUGACUUGUGGCUGGGGGUGAAAGGCCAAUCAAACCGGGAGAUAGCUGGUUCUCCCCGAAAGCUAUUUAGGUAGCGCCUCGUGAAUUCAUCUCCGGGGGUAGAGCACUGUUUCGGCAAGGGGGUCAUCCCGACUUACCAACCCGAUGCAAACUGCGAAUACCGGAGAAUGUUAUCACGGGAGACACACGGCGGGUGCUAACGUCCGUCGUGAAGAGGGAAACAACCCAGACCGCCAGCUAAGGUCCCAAAGUCAUGGUUAAGUGGGAAACGAUGUGGGAAGGCCCAGACAGCCAGGAUGUUGGCUUAGAAGCAGCCAUCAUUUAAAGAAAGCGUAAUAGCUCACUGGUCGAGUCGGCCUGCGCGGAAGAUGUAACGGGGCUAAACCAUGCACCGAAGCUGCGGCAGCGACACUAUGUGUUGUUGGGUAGGGGAGCG